UACAGAGGGUGCAAGCGUUAAUCGGAAUUACUGGGCGUAAAGCGCGCGUAGGUGGUUCGUUAAGUUGGAUGUGAAAUCCCCGGGCUCAACCUGGGAACUGCAUUCAAAACUGUCGAGCUAGAGUAUGGUAGAGGGUGGUGGAACUUCCUGUGUAGCGGUGAAAUGCGUAGAUAGAGGAAGGAACACCAGUGGCGAAGGCGACCACCUGGACUGAUACUGACACUGAGGUGCGAAAGCGUGGGGAGCAAACAGG
This 253-nucleotide ribosomal RNA is filed under the name uncultured bacterium. RNAcentral describes it as "partial 16S ribosomal RNA". It matches the Rfam family "Bacterial small subunit ribosomal RNA", at positions 524 to 776 of the family's 1533-position model. The record is from RNAcentral.